GCCGAAAUAGCUCAGUUGGGAGAGCAUACGCCUGAAGAGCGUAGGGUCCCUGGUUCGAGCCCGGGUUUCGGCA
Molecule: transfer RNA, 73 nt
Filed under: Microbotryum lychnidis-dioicae p1A1 Lamole
Lineage: Eukaryota; Fungi; Basidiomycota; Microbotryomycetes; Microbotryales; Microbotryaceae
Description: tRNA-Phe (GAA) (tRNA-Phe-GAA-1-1)
Rfam family: tRNA
About the family: Transfer RNA (tRNA) molecules are approximately 80 nucleotides in length.
Source: RNAcentral